AGUGAACGCUGGCGGUAGGCCUAACACAUGCAAGUCGAACGGCAGCACAGUAAGAGCUUGCUCUUACGGGUGGCGAGUGGCGGACGGGUGAGGAAUACAUCGGAAUCUACUUUUUCGUGGGGGAUAACGUAGGGAAACUUACGCUAAUACCGCAUACGACCUACGGGUGAAAGCAGGGGAUCUUCGGACCUUGCGCGAUUGAAUGAGCCGAUGUCGGAUUAGCCAGUUGGCGGGGUAAAGGCCCACCAAGGCGACGAUCCGUAGCUGGUCUGAGAGGAUGAUCAGCCACACUGGAACUGAGACACGGUCCAGACUCCUACGGGAGGCAGCAGUGGGGAAUAUUGGACAAUGGGCGCAAGCCUGAUCCAGCCAUACCGCGUGGGUGAAGAAGGCCUUCGGGUUGUAAAGCCCUUCUGUUGGGAAAGAAAAGCAGCAGGUUAAUACCCCGCUGUUCUGACGGUACCCAAAGAAUAAGCACCGGCUAACUUCGUG
RNAcentral lists this ribosomal RNA (492 nucleotides) under uncultured bacterium. Its description in RNAcentral is "partial 16S ribosomal RNA". It matches the Rfam family "Bacterial small subunit ribosomal RNA", at positions 29 to 507 of the family's 1533-position model. The record is from RNAcentral.